This 266-nucleotide ribosomal RNA is filed under the name uncultured bacterium. Its description in RNAcentral is "partial small subunit ribosomal RNA". It matches the Rfam family "Bacterial small subunit ribosomal RNA", at positions 26 to 287 of the family's 1533-position model. The record is from RNAcentral.
AGGACGAACGCUGGCGGCGUGCUUAAUACAUGCAAGUCGAACGAGGUCCAUCUGGUGGUAACACCAGUGAAGACCUAGUGGCGAACGGGUGCGUAACACGUGAGCAACCUGCCCCGUAGACCGGGAUAACACCGGGAAACCAGUGCUAAUACCGGAUGCCCCCCACGAACCCGCAUGGGUUUGUGAGGAAAGGAAUCCGCUUCGGGAGGGGCUCGCGACCUAUCAGCUUGUGGUGGGUAACGCCUACCAAGGCUACGACGGGUAGC